UGGGGAAUAUUGGACAAUGGGCGCAAGCCUGAUCCAGCCAUGCCGCGUGGGUGAAGAAGGCCUUCGGGUUGUAAAGCCCUUUUGUCCGGAAAGAAAAGUCCCGGGUUAAUACCCUGGGGUGAUGACGGUACCGGAAGAAUAAGCACCGGCUAACUUCGUGCCAGCAGCCGCGGUAAUACGAAGGGUGCAAGCGUUACUCGGAAUUACUGGGCGUAAAGCGUGCGUAGGUGGUUUGUUAAGUCUGAUGUGAAAGCCCUGGGCUCAACCUGGGAAUGGCAUUGGAAACUGGCAGGCUAGAGUGCGGUAGAGGAUGGCGGAAUUCCCGGUGUAGCAGUGAAAUGCGUAGAGAUCGGGAGGAACAUCUGUGGCGAAGGCGGCCAUCUGGACCAGCACUGACACU
Molecule: ribosomal RNA, 400 nt
Filed under: uncultured bacterium
Lineage: Bacteria
Description: bacterial SSU rRNA
Rfam family: Bacterial small subunit ribosomal RNA
Source: RNAcentral